CUACGGGAUGCACCAGUGGGGAAUCUUGCACAAUGGAGGAAACUCUGAUGCAGCGAUGCCGCGUGAGUGAAGAAGGCCCUUGGGUUGUAAAGCUCUUUUGUCGGGAAAGAUAAUGACUGUACCCGAAGAAUAAGGUCCGGCUAACUUCGUGCCAGCAGCCGCGGUAAUACGAAGGGACCCAGCGUAAUUCGGAAUUACUGGGCGUAAAGCGCGCGUAGGCGGUUAAGUAAGUUAAUUGUGAAAGCCCAAAGCUCAACUUUGGAAUUGCAAUUAAAACUACUUAGCUAGAGUUUAUCAGAGGAAAGCGGAAUACAUAGUGUAGAGGUGAAAUUCGUAGAUAUUAUGUAGAACACCAGUUGCGAAGGCGGCUUUCUGAGAUAACACUGCCGCUGAGGUGCGAAAGUAUGGGUAGCGAAGAGGAUUAGAUACCCUUGUAGUC
RNAcentral lists this ribosomal RNA (439 nucleotides) under uncultured bacterium. Its description in RNAcentral is "partial 16S ribosomal RNA". It matches the Rfam family "Bacterial small subunit ribosomal RNA", at positions 339 to 795 of the family's 1533-position model. The record is from RNAcentral.